RNAcentral lists this ribosomal RNA (301 nucleotides) under uncultured bacterium. RNAcentral describes it as "partial 16S ribosomal RNA". It matches the Rfam family "Bacterial small subunit ribosomal RNA", at positions 509 to 808 of the family's 1533-position model. The record is from RNAcentral.
CAGCAGCCGCGGGAAUACGUAGGUCCCGAGCGUUGUCCGGAUUUAUUGGGCGUAAAGCGAGCGCAGGCGGUUAGAUAAGUCUGAAGUUAAAGGCUGUGGCUUAACCAUAGUACGCUUUGGAAACUGUUUAACUUGAGUGCAAGAGGGGAGAGUGGAAUUCCAUGUGUAGCGGUGAAAUGCGUAGAUAUAUGGAGGAACACCGGUGGCGAAAGCGGCUCUUUGGCUUGUAACUGACGCUGAGGCUCGAAAGCGUGGGGAGCAAACAGGAUUAGAUACCCCUGUAGUCCCUGUCUCUUAUACA